AUUGUGCCCACAAGAGUUUACAGCAACCAACAGACAGUGCCGAAUUGUUAAACGACAAUAUUUCAACAAGAACAUUCGCUGGUUGUCUCCCGGAAAGUAUCUGGAAACGCCAUCAUCCUCAGAGAGACGUCGCUGAAACUUCC
Camelina sativa (false flax) is the source of this 143-nucleotide non-coding RNA. The record is from RefSeq and is a predicted model, not a curated record. Lineage: Eukaryota; Viridiplantae; Streptophyta; Magnoliopsida; Brassicales; Brassicaceae.